GUAGUCCACGCCGUAAACGAUGGGUACUAGGUGUGUGGGGAGCGACCCCCUGGGUGCCGGCGCUAACGCAUGAAGUACCCCGACGGGGGAGUACGGCCGCAAGGCUGAAACUCAAAGGAAUUGACGGGGGCCCGCACAAGCGGUGGAGCAUGUGGUUUAAUUCGACGCAACGCGAAGAACCUUACCUAGGCUUGACAUGCUGGAGAAAGCUUGCGGAAACGUGAGCCCCUCUUCGGAGUUCCAGCACAGAUGCUGCAUGGCUGUCGUCAGCUCGUGUCGUGAGAUGUUGGGUUAAGUCCCGCAACGAGCGCAACCCUCACUCUUAGUUACCAGCGGGUAAAGCCGGGGACUCUAGGGGGACUGCCGGUGCCAAACCGGAGGAAGGUGGGGAUGACGUCAAGUCAUCAUGGCUCUUACGUCUAGGGCUACACACGUGCUACAAUGGGCCGGACAGAGGGUCGCCAACUCGCGAGAGUGAGCCAAUCCCCAAACCGGUCCUCAGUUCGGAUUGUAGUCUGCAACUCGACUACAUGAAGCUGGAAUCGCUAGUAAUCGUGGAUCAGCUACGCCACGGUGAAUA
Molecule: ribosomal RNA, 580 nt
Filed under: uncultured Gemmatimonas sp.
Lineage: Bacteria; Pseudomonadati; Gemmatimonadota; Gemmatimonadia; Gemmatimonadales; Gemmatimonadaceae
Description: bacterial SSU rRNA
Rfam family: Bacterial small subunit ribosomal RNA
Source: RNAcentral